ACUCGAAACUCAAAGGACUUGACGGUGUCCCAAACCAACCUAGAGGAGCCUGUCCUAUAAUCGAUAAUCCACGCUUCACCUUACCCCCCCUUGCAAACCAGUCUGUAUACCGCCGUCUUUCAGUUCGUCUUAUGACAGACCCAGAACAAACACAACAGCCCACCACUAAAACGUCAGGUCAAGGUGCAGCCAAUGGGAGGGCAGCGAUGGGCUACAUUUUCUACCACAACAGAACACCACAAACCACCACAUGAAAUAUAGGCCACAAGGCGGAUUUAGCAGUAAGCCAAACA
RNAcentral lists this ribosomal RNA (293 nucleotides) under Tarentola sp. CR-2012. Its description in RNAcentral is "partial 12S ribosomal RNA". Lineage: Eukaryota; Metazoa; Chordata; Lepidosauria; Squamata; Phyllodactylidae. The record is from RNAcentral.